Molecule: ribosomal RNA, 358 nt
Filed under: uncultured bacterium
Lineage: Bacteria
Description: bacterial SSU rRNA
Rfam family: Bacterial small subunit ribosomal RNA
Source: RNAcentral
AGCGAACGCUGGCGGCAGGCUUAACACAUGCAAGUCGAGCGGGCCCUUCGGGGUCAGCGGCGGACGGGUGAGUAACGCGUGGGAACGUGCCUUCUGGUUCGGAAUAACCCUGGGAAACUAGGGCUAAGUACCGGAUACGCCCUUUUGGGAAAGGUUUACUGCCGGAAGAUCGGCCGCGUCUGAUUAGCUAGUUGGUGGGGUAACGGCCUACCAAGGCGAACGAUCAGUAGCCGGACUGAGAGGUUGGCCGGCCACAUUGGGACUGAGGCACGGCCCAGACUCCUACGGAGCAGCAGUGGGAAUAGUUGGGCAAUGGGCGCGAAGCCUGACCCCAGCCAAACGCCGCGUGAAGGAAGAA